CCUACGGGUGGCUGCAGUGGGGAAUAUUGGGCAAUGGGCGCAAGCCUGACCCAGCAACGCCGCGUGAAGGAAGAAGGCUUUCGGGUUGUAAACCUCUUUUGACAUGGAAGAGUAGAAGACGGUACCUGUCGAAUAAGCCACGUCUAACUACGUGCCAGCAGCCGCGGUAAUACGUAGGUGGCAAGUGUUAUCCGGAUUUACUGGGUGUAAAGGGCGUGUAGGCGGAUUGACAAGUCAGUUGUGAAAUCCUGCGGCUUAACCGCAGAACUGCAUUUGAAACUGUUGGUCUUGAGUACUGGAGAGGCAGACGGAAUUCGUGGUGUAGCGGUGAAAUGCGUAGAUAUUAGGAGGAACACCAGUGGCGAAGGCGGUUUACUGGACAGCAACUGACGGUGAGGCGCGAAAGCGUGGGGAGCAAACAGGAUUAGAUACCCCAGUAGUC
Molecule: ribosomal RNA, 442 nt
Filed under: uncultured bacterium
Lineage: Bacteria
Description: partial 16S ribosomal RNA
Rfam family: Bacterial small subunit ribosomal RNA
Source: RNAcentral